Long non-coding RNA from Melitaea cinxia (Glanville fritillary), 309 nucleotides. RefSeq lists it as uncharacterized. NCBI's taxonomy places the organism in Eukaryota, Metazoa, Arthropoda, Insecta, Lepidoptera, Nymphalidae. The record is from RefSeq and is a predicted model, not a curated record. The transcript has 3 exons.
UUUUUUGAAAGUCGGUUAAAAAAAGCUUACGCAUUUGUUCUCACGACUUUUUUUACAAGAAAUAAUAUAUACAGCGAUUAUUUAGUAUGACGAAUCAUGAGUUCAUUUAUCAUUCGGAAGAUCUCACUGAAUAUAUUUUAUUGCAUGAAAUUCAUAAUUUAGUCAUUUUGCUACCAGAAUAUCCAGAAACGUGUUACUUAGUUCGAACUUUUGUUAUAGCAACACCAGACCUUUAAAACUAAUUGUGAAUAAAAAAAAGAAACAUUAUAAAGCGUUAGUUCUAUGGUCCAUAGAUAAUGUAUAAGUAUU